Molecule: non-coding RNA, 73 nt
Organism: Parelaphostrongylus tenuis
Lineage: Eukaryota; Metazoa; Nematoda; Chromadorea; Rhabditida; Metastrongylidae
Source: the annotation of a GenBank genome assembly
GCCUCGGUGGUGUAGUAGUGGUAGCGCGCGUCCCGGUAUGGAUGAAACGAGGGUUCAACUCCCGCCUGAGGUU